RNAcentral lists this ribosomal RNA (305 nucleotides) under uncultured bacterium. RNAcentral describes it as "partial 16S ribosomal RNA". It matches the Rfam family "Archaeal small subunit ribosomal RNA", at positions 455 to 760 of the family's 1478-position model. The record is from RNAcentral.
ACAGCAGCAGCCACGGUAAUACCAGCACCUCGAGUGGUCAGGAGGUUUAUUGGGCCUAAAGCAUCCGUAGCCGGUUGCAUAAGUUUUCGGUUAAAUCUAUGCGCUUAACGUAUAGGCCGCCGAAAAUACUGUGCAGCUAGGGAGUGGGAGAGGUACACGGUACUCGAUAGGAAGGGGUAAAAUCCUUUGAUCUAUUGAUGACCACCUGUGGCGAAGGCGGUGUACCAGAACACGUUCGACGGUGAGGGAUGAAAGCUGGGGGAGCAAACAGGAUUAGAUACCCCAGUAGUCCCUGUCUCUUAUAC